This is a long non-coding RNA of Gossypium raimondii (Peruvian cotton), 608 nucleotides long. RefSeq lists it as uncharacterized. NCBI's taxonomy places the organism in Eukaryota, Viridiplantae, Streptophyta, Magnoliopsida, Malvales, Malvaceae. The record is from RefSeq and is a predicted model, not a curated record. The transcript has 2 exons.
GAUCUCAACUUAAAAAAAGAUAUUGUGUUCCAAAUAAUGUUCCCACUUGUCCAAAAUUCCAAAUUACUCUCACAAGAAUUAGUGUUUUUUUUGUGAACAUGUGAAGCCAUCAUACAUUUACUACAAUCAUGAUAUGUUUGAACAUAAUUAAUAAAUAUUAUUUUUAUUUGCAUUUAAAAAAUACCAAGAUCGAUUCUGGGCAGAGGAGGGCCCUUCGAUGGUGGAGUUUACUGUUGCCGUCGACAGGUGGUGGGUGGAUCCACCGGAUUAGUUCUCAGAAACUGGUUGUCUCAUGGCGACCAGCGGUAUGUUUGGAUGAACGAUUGGGUGCGGUGCGGUGCGUUUAAUUUACUUUUUGUUUCACGCUACAGUAUCGCUAUAUUAUCUAAUCUCACUGCCACCGCUAUUUUUACACUAACCGUAGGUAAACGCACGAGGCUUUUUGAUUUCUGUUUAGGGGCUCUGGUAUAAAGAGUGUUUGGUUUGCUUUUCUUUAUUUUCUGUCAACGUUCCGUUUGCUGGUAUGUAUUUUCUUAUUUUUCUUUUCUCUAUUUGGUCAAUUUAUGAAUGUACUCUUUUAUAUUAAAUGAAAGCCAUCUUUUGUCAAA